GACGAACGCUGGCGGCGUGCUUAACACAUGCAAGUCGAACGGAAAGGCCCUGCUUUUGUGGGGUGCUCGAGUGGCGAACGGGUGAGUAACACGUGAGUAACCUGCCCUUGACUUUGGGAUAACUUCAGGAAACUGGGGCUAAUACCGGAUAGGAGCUCCUGCUGCAUGGUGGGGGUUGGAAAGUUUCGGCGGUUGGGGAUGGACUCGCGGCUUAUCAGCUUGUUGGUGGGGUAGUGGCUUACCAAGGCUUUGACGGGUAGCCGGCCUGAGAGGGUGACCGGCCACAUUGGGACUGAGAUACGGCCCAGACUCCUACGGGAGGCAGCAGUGGGGAAUAUGGCACAAUGGGCGGAAGCCUGAUGCAGCAACGCCGCGUGCGGGAUGACGGCCUUCGGGUUGUAAACCGCUUUCGCCUGUGACGAAGCGUGGGUGACGGUAAUGGGUAAAGAAGCACCGGCUAACUACGU
This 467-nucleotide ribosomal RNA is filed under the name uncultured bacterium. RNAcentral describes it as "partial 16S ribosomal RNA". It matches the Rfam family "Bacterial small subunit ribosomal RNA", at positions 28 to 506 of the family's 1533-position model. The record is from RNAcentral.